RNAcentral lists this ribosomal RNA (468 nucleotides) under uncultured bacterium. Its description in RNAcentral is "partial 16S ribosomal RNA". It matches the Rfam family "Bacterial small subunit ribosomal RNA", at positions 28 to 507 of the family's 1533-position model. The record is from RNAcentral.
GACGAACGCUGGCGGCGUGCUUAACACAUGCAAGUCGAACGGAAAGGCCCUGCUUUUGUGGGGUGCUCGAGUGGCGAACGGGUGAGUAACACGUGAGUAACCUGCCCUUGACUUUGGGAUAACUUCAGGAAACUGGGACUAAUACCGGAUAGGAGCUCCUGCUGCAUGGUGGGGGUUGGAAAGUUUCGGCGGUUGGGGAUGGACUCGCGGCUUAUCAGCUUGUUGGUGGGGUAGUGGCUUACCAAGGCUUUGACGGGUAGCCGGCCUGAGAGGGUGACCGGCCACAUUGGGACUGAGAUACGGCCCAGACUCCUAUGGGAGGCAGCAGUGGGGAAUAUUGCACAAUGGGCGGAAGCCUGAUGCAGCAACGCCGCGUGCGGGAUGACGGCCUUCGGGUUGUAAACCGCUUUCGCCUGUGACGAAGCGUGAGUGACGGUAAUGGGUAAAGAAGCACCGGCUAACUACGUG